This 253-nucleotide ribosomal RNA is filed under the name uncultured bacterium. RNAcentral describes it as "partial 16S ribosomal RNA". It matches the Rfam family "Bacterial small subunit ribosomal RNA", at positions 524 to 776 of the family's 1533-position model. The record is from RNAcentral.
UACGUAGGAGGCGAGCGUUGUCCGGAAUUAUUGGGCGUAAAGCGCGUGUAGGCGGCUUUGCAAGUCGGGUGUGAAAUCCCUCAGCUUAACUGAGGAAGUGCGCCCGAAACUGCCGAGCUUGAAUACCGGAGAGGAUGGCGGAAUUCCCCAAGUAGAGGUGAAAUUCGUAGAUAUGGGGAGGAACACCGGUGGCGAAGGCGGCCAUCUGGACGGCUAUUGACGCUGAGACGCGAAAGCAUGGGGAGCAAACAGG